AGAGUUUGAUCCUGGCUCAGGACGAACGCUGGCGGCGUGCCUAAUACAUGCAAGUCGAGCGAGCUUGCCUAGAUGAAUUUGGUGCUUGCACCAAAUGAAACUAGAUACAAGCGAGCGGCGGACGGGUGAGUAACACGUGGGUAACCUGCCCAAGAGACUGGGAUAACACCUGGAAACAGAUGCUAAUACCGGAUAACAACACUAGACGCAUGUCUAGAGUUUAAAAGAUGGUUCUGCUAUCACUCUUGGAUGGACCUGCGGUGCAUUAGCUAGUUGGUAAGGUAACGGCUUACCAAGGCAAUGAUGCAUAGCCGAGUUGAGAGACUGAUCGGCCACAUUGGGACUGAGACACGGCCCAAACUCCUACGGGAGGCAGCAGUAGGGAAUCUUCCACAAUGGACGCAAGUCUGAUGGAGCAACGCCGCGUGAGUGAAGAAGGGUUUCGGCUCGUAAAGCUCUGUUGGUAGUGAAGAAAGAUAGAGGUAGUAACUGGCCUUUAUUUGACGGUAAUUACUUAGAAAGUCACGGCUAACUACGUGCCAGCAGCCGCGGUAAU
Molecule: ribosomal RNA, 556 nt
Filed under: uncultured Lactobacillus sp.
Lineage: Bacteria; Bacillati; Bacillota; Bacilli; Lactobacillales; Lactobacillaceae
Description: bacterial SSU rRNA
Rfam family: Bacterial small subunit ribosomal RNA
Source: RNAcentral